AGAGUUUGAUCAUGGCUCAGAACGAACGCUGCGGCGUGAUAGACAUGCAAGUCGAACGGGAUAUUAUUUGUAGCAAUACAAAUGAUGUCUAGUGGCGUAAGGGUGCGUAACACGUGGGCAAUCUGCCGAGAAGUGGGGGGAUAGCUCGCCGAAAGGCGAAUUAAUACCGCAUGUGGUUAGGAAGGACAUCCCUCCGACACCAAAGCCGGGGCAACCUGGCGCUUCUUGAUGAGCCCGCGGCCUAUCAGCUAGUUGGUGAGGUAACGGCUCACCAAGGCUAUGACGGGUAGCUGGUCUGAGAGGACGACCAGCCACACUGGAACUGAGACACGGUCCAGACACCUACGGGUGGCAGCAGUCGAGAAUUUUUCUCAAUGGGGGAAACCCUGAAGGAGCGACGCCGCGUGGAGGAUGAAGGUCUUCGGAUUGUAAACUCCUGUCAUUUGGGAACAAUUGCAGGCGAUUAACUGUCGCUUGUUUGAUAGUACCAGAAGAGGAAGAGACGGCUAACUCUGUGCCAGCAGCCGCGGUAAUACAGAGGUCUCAAGCGUUGUUCGGAUUCAUUGGGCGUAAAGGGAGCGUAGGUGGCGGAGUAAGUCAGGUGUGAAAUCUCGGGGCUCAACCCCGAAACUGCACUUGAUACUGCUUUGCUAGAGUACUGGAGAGGAGAUUGGAAUUUACGGUGUAGCAGUGAAAUGCGUAGAUAUCGUAAGGAAGACCAGUGGCGAAGGCGUAUCUCUGGACAGUUACUGACACUGAGGCUCGAAGGCCAGGGGAGCAAACGGGAUUAGAUACCCUAGUAGUCC
RNAcentral lists this ribosomal RNA (806 nucleotides) under uncultured bacterium. RNAcentral's name for it is "bacterial SSU rRNA". It matches the Rfam family "Bacterial small subunit ribosomal RNA", at positions 8 to 796 of the family's 1533-position model. The record is from RNAcentral.